CCGCCCGUGGUGGGGAGCCGCUUCUCGUUGUUCCGUGGGAGCGAACGGUGUCCGUCGGUGGGCCUCAGGUGCGGGCCCUGUCGGCGGC
This 88-nucleotide transfer RNA is filed under the name Kocuria rosea. RNAcentral describes it as "tRNA-???(gttc)". Lineage: Bacteria; Bacillati; Actinomycetota; Actinomycetes; Micrococcales; Micrococcaceae. The record is from RNAcentral.